RNAcentral lists this ribosomal RNA (468 nucleotides) under uncultured bacterium. RNAcentral describes it as "partial 16S ribosomal RNA". It matches the Rfam family "Bacterial small subunit ribosomal RNA", at positions 28 to 507 of the family's 1533-position model. The record is from RNAcentral.
GACGAACGCUGGCGGCGUGCUUAACACAUGCAAGUCGAACGGAAAGGCCCUGCUUUUGUGGGGUGCUCGAGUGGCGAACGGGUGAGUAACACGUGAGUAACCUGCCCUUGACUUUGGGAUAACUUCAGGAAACUGGGGCUAAUACCGGAUAGGAGCUCCUGCUGCAUGGUGGGGGUUGGAAAGUUUCGGCGGUUGGGGAUGGACUCGCGGCUUAUCAGCUUGUUGGUGGGGUAGUGGCUUACCAAGGCUUUGACGGGUAGCCGGCCUGAGAGGGUGACCGGGCACAUUGGGACUGAGAUACGGCCCAGACGCGUACGGGAGGCAGCAGUGGGGAAUAUUGCACAAUGGGCGGAAGCCUGAUGCAGCAGCGCCGCGUGCGGGAUGACGGCCUUCGGGUUGUAAACCGCUUUCGCCUGUGACGAAGCGUGAGUGACGGUAAUGGGUAAAGAAGCACCGGCUAACUACGUG